RNAcentral lists this transfer RNA (67 nucleotides) under Apanteles gelechiidivoris. Its description in RNAcentral is "tRNA-Tyr". The record is from RNAcentral. Lineage: Eukaryota; Metazoa; Arthropoda; Insecta; Hymenoptera; Braconidae.
AAUAUUAUGUCUGAUUUAAGUAAUAAAUUGUAAAUUUAUUUAAAAGAAAAUAAUUUCUUUAAUAUUA